Molecule: long non-coding RNA, 329 nt
Filed under: Lathyrus oleraceus (garden pea)
Lineage: Eukaryota; Viridiplantae; Streptophyta; Magnoliopsida; Fabales; Fabaceae
Description: Pisum sativum (pea) long non-coding RNA (PSAT_LNC008718)
Source: RNAcentral
GUUUAGAUUUUGUAGGAUAUAUUUAAAAAAUUUAAAUUAGAUUUAGGUUUAGAGUAAAAUACUAAUUAAUUAGGUUUUCUUUUAUUUUGUUUAAUUAGGUUUAAUUAGGGUAGUCAAAUAGUUUCCUAUUUAUUAGUUUUUUUAGUUUUAUUUAUUUUUUUUAUUUAUUUUAGUUUAUAUAUUUAAGUUAGCAUUAAAAUAUCAAUUAGUUGUUAAGUGGCCUGGUGGAGAGGAGUGGUAUUUAAGUCUUAGGUGGAGUGAGUUCGAUACUCGUAGAUAGCAUUUUUAGUAUUUCUUUUUUAGUAUUUCAUUUCUUUUUUAGCAUUUCA